Molecule: ribosomal RNA, 253 nt
Filed under: uncultured bacterium
Lineage: Bacteria
Description: partial 16S ribosomal RNA
Rfam family: Bacterial small subunit ribosomal RNA
Source: RNAcentral
UACGUAGGUGGCAAGCGUUAUCCGGAAUUAUUGGGCGUAAAGAGCGCGCAGGUGGUUAAUUAAGUCUGAUGUGAAAGCCCACGGCUUAACCGUGGAGGGUCAUUGGAAACUGGUUGACUUGAGUGCAGAAGAGGGAAGUGGAAUUCCAUGUGUAGCGGUGAAAUGCGCAGAGAUAUGGAGGAACACCAGUGGCGAAGGCGGCUUCCUGGUCUGCAACUGACACUGAGGCGCGAAAGCGUGGGGAGCAAACAGG